RNAcentral lists this ribosomal RNA (995 nucleotides) under uncultured marine alveolate. RNAcentral's name for it is "SSU rRNA". It matches the Rfam family "Eukaryotic small subunit ribosomal RNA", at positions 561 to 1592 of the family's 1831-position model. The record is from RNAcentral.
CUAGACCGAAAGUAGCUCCAUUCGCGUCUUUCAAAGUUGUUGCGGUAAAAAAGCUUCGUAGUUGGACUCUGUUGAGAACGACCGGUCCACACAACGUGUGCGCAUCUGGCUCGGUCUCGGCAUCCUCUCAAAAAACGACUCUGCGCUUGAUUGCGUGGAUCGGAGUUUGGGACUUUUACUUUGAGGAAAUUAGAGUGUUCACGGCAGGCCAUCGCCAGAAUACAUUAGCAUGGAAUAAUACUAUAGGAUCUUGAUCCUAUUUUGUUGGUUUCUAGGAGCAAGAUAAUGAUUAAUAGGGACAAUUGGGGGCAUUCGUAUCAACACGUCAGAGGUGGAAUUCUUGGAUUGUGUUGCGACGAACUACUGCGAAAGCAUUUGCCAAGGAUGUUUUCAUUGAUCAAGAACGAAAGUUAGGGGAUCGAAGACGAUUAGAUACCGUCGUAGUCUUAACCAUAAACUAUGCCAACUAGAGAUUGGACAUCGUUCAUGUACGACUUGUUCAGCAUCUUAUGAGAUAUCAAAGUUUUUGGGUUCCGGGGGGAGUAUAGUCGCAAGUCCGAAACUUAAAGGAAUUGACGGAAGGGCACCACCAGGAGUGGAGCCUGCGGCUUAAUUUGACUCAACACGGGGAAACUCACCAGGUCCAGACAUAAUAAGGAUUGACAGAUUGAUAGCUCUUUCUUGAUUUUAUGGGUGGUGGUGCAUGGCCGUUCUUAGUUCGUGGAGUGAUUUGUCUGCUUAAUUGCGUUAACGAACGAGACCUUAACCUGCUAAAUAGGAGCGCAUAUCUCCGGAUAAGCGCCUUUCUUCUUAGAGGGACUUUAUGCGUUUCAGCAUGAGGAAGUUUGAGGCUAAAACAGGUCUGUGAUGCCCUUAGAUGUUCUGGGCUGCACGCGCGCUACACUGAUGCGUUCAACGAGUGUACAACCUUGCCCGAUAGGGGUUGGGUAACCUUUUGAACACGCAUCGUGAUGGGGAUAAGAGUAUUGUAAAUA